AUCACAUUCUACAUGACUGACUCGCUUUUGUAGCGAACGUGUGCCGAUUUUUUGUUGUUUUACAUAUGUUUUAUUUUUGUUUACCUUUCGCAACGUUCUCUAUAAUUCAGUUAAUGACUUAUCUUUGUAGAUAAAUCAAAUAUAUUUCGUGUUGUUUAACAGCGUUGGAGUUCGCUUUGGGCUUUUACAUCAUUCAUCACAUCAUUUUUCAAGGAAGGCUGACUAAAAAUCUGCAUUUAGGACCAAGGAAGAUAUGGGUUCACGAAAAUAUUCAAGUUAUUGAGAGACUGAAAUCUGAGAAUGUAAAGCGGGGAUUUGGAAACAAAUUCCUAAUUACUUCGAAGGGCUGUGCUGCUUUGGCUCUCGCUUUCUACACAUCCAAAAAGGUUCCGAAGGGAAACAUCAGCCAGCCAUAUUAAGCUUUUCCUUGCUUGAAUUGAUGUAACCUCCUAUGGACUAAGCAAUCGAAAGCCGAUUUCUACCCAGUUAAUGCCAACUAAGUCUUAAGUAAAAGAAUACAUGCUUUUCAGAAUCAA
This is a long non-coding RNA of Bactrocera oleae (olive fruit fly), 536 nucleotides long. RefSeq lists it as uncharacterized. Lineage: Eukaryota; Metazoa; Arthropoda; Insecta; Diptera; Tephritidae. The record is from RefSeq and is a predicted model, not a curated record.